UACGUAGGGGGCUAGCGUUGUCCGGAUUUAUUGGGCGUAAAGAGCGUGUAGGCGGCCAGGUAGGUCUGCUGUGAAAACUCGAGGCUCAACCCCGGGUCGGCCGUGCCGACUGAAAAGCUGGAGCACUGUAGAGGCAGGUGGAAUUCCGGGUGUAGCGGUGAAAUGCGUAGAUAUCUGGAGGAACACCGGUGGCGAAGGCGGCAUCCUGGACCGACGACUGACGCUGAGGCACGAAAGCGUGGGGAGCAAACA
Molecule: ribosomal RNA, 252 nt
Filed under: uncultured bacterium
Lineage: Bacteria
Description: partial 16S ribosomal RNA
Rfam family: Bacterial small subunit ribosomal RNA
Source: RNAcentral